Molecule: ribosomal RNA, 253 nt
Filed under: uncultured bacterium
Lineage: Bacteria
Description: partial 16S ribosomal RNA
Rfam family: Bacterial small subunit ribosomal RNA
Source: RNAcentral
UACGGAGGGUGCAAGCGUUAUCCGGAUUUAUUGGGUUUAAAGGGUCCGUAGGCGGAUCUGUAAGUCAGUGGUGAAAUCUCACAGCUUAACUGUGAGGGUGCCAUUGAUACUGUAGGGCUUGAGUGAAUUUGAGGUAGGCGGAAUUGACGGUGUAGCGGUGAAAUGCUUAGAUAUCGUCAAGAACACCGAUAGUGAAGACAGCUUACCAAGCUUCAACUGACGCUGAGGCACGAAAGUGUGGGGAUCAAACAGG